UACGUAGGGCGCAAGCGUUGUCCGGAAUUAUUGGGCGUAAAGAGCUCGUAGGCGGUCUGUCGCGUCGGAUGUGAAAGCCCGGGGCUUAACCCCGGGUCUGCAUUCGAUACGGGCAGACUAGAGUGUGGUAGGGGAGAUCGGAAUUCCUGGUGUAGCGGUGAAAUGCGCAGAUAUCAGGAGGAACACCGGUGGCGAAGGCGGAUCUCUGGGCCAUUACUGACGCUGAGGAGCGAAAGCGUGGGGAGCGAACAGG
RNAcentral lists this ribosomal RNA (253 nucleotides) under uncultured bacterium. Its description in RNAcentral is "partial 16S ribosomal RNA". It matches the Rfam family "Bacterial small subunit ribosomal RNA", at positions 524 to 776 of the family's 1533-position model. RNAcentral also lists the same sequence under 1 other name. The record is from RNAcentral.